Molecule: ribosomal RNA, 216 nt
Filed under: Glomeromycotina sp.
Lineage: Eukaryota; Fungi; Glomeromycota
Description: partial small subunit ribosomal RNA
Rfam family: Eukaryotic small subunit ribosomal RNA (bases 40-216)
Source: RNAcentral
GGGUCAGUAGGUUGGUCGUGCCACCGGUACGUACUGGUCUCACUGAUUCCUCCUUCCUGAAGAACCGUAAUGCCACUAAUUUGGUGUUGCGGGGAAGCAGGACUGUUACUUUGAAAAAAUUAGAGUGUUUAAAGCAAGCUAACGCUUGAAUAUAUUAGCAUGGAAUAAUGAAAUAGGACGAUCGAUCCUAUUUUGUUGGUUUCUAGGAUUGACGUA